CAGUCGCCGCGGUAAUACGAAGGGGGCUGGCGUUGUUCGGAAUUACUGGGCGUAAAGCGCACGUAGGCGGAUAUUUAAGUCAGGGGUGAAAUCCCGCAGCUCAACUGCGGAACAGCCUUUGAUACUGGGUAUCUUGAGUAUGGAAGAGGUAAGUGGAAUUGCGAGUGUAGAGGUGAAAUUCGUAGAUAUUCGCAGGAACACCAGUGGCGAAGGCGGCUUACUGGUCCAUUACUGACGCUGAGGUGCGAAAGCGUGGGGAGCAAACAGGAUUAGAUACCCCCGUAGUCCCUGUCUCUUAUAC
Molecule: ribosomal RNA, 301 nt
Filed under: uncultured bacterium
Lineage: Bacteria
Description: partial 16S ribosomal RNA
Rfam family: Bacterial small subunit ribosomal RNA
Source: RNAcentral